This 465-nucleotide ribosomal RNA is filed under the name uncultured bacterium. RNAcentral describes it as "partial 16S ribosomal RNA". It matches the Rfam family "Bacterial small subunit ribosomal RNA", at positions 28 to 507 of the family's 1533-position model. The record is from RNAcentral.
GACGAACGCUGGCGGCGUGCUUAACACAUGCCAGUCGAACGGAAAGGCCCCUUUGGGGGUACUCGCGUGGCGAACGGGUGAGUAACACGUGAGUAACCUGCCCUUCACUUCGGGAUAACUUCAGGAAACUGGGGCUAAUACCGGAUAGGAAUCCUUGCUGCCUGGUGGGGGUUGGAAAGCUUCGGCGGUUUUGGAUGGACUCGCGGCUUAUCAGCUUGUUGGUGGGGUAGUGGCUUACCAAGGCUUUGACGGGUAGCCGGCCUGAGAGGGCGACCGGCCACAUUGGGACUGAGAUACGGCCCAGACUCCUACGGGAGGCAGCAGGGGGGAAUAUUGCACAAUGGGCGGAAGCCUGAUGCAGCAACGCCGCGUGCGGGAUGACGGCCUUCGGGUUGGAAACCGCUUUCAGCAGGGGAGAAGCUUGUGGUGACGGUACCUGCAGAAGAAGCACCGGCUAACUACGUG